Molecule: ribosomal RNA, 383 nt
Filed under: uncultured eukaryote
Lineage: Eukaryota
Description: partial 18S ribosomal RNA
Rfam family: Eukaryotic small subunit ribosomal RNA
Source: RNAcentral
CAAUAGCGUAUAUUAAAGUUGUUGCAGUUAAAAAGCUCGUAGUUGGAUUUCUGGUGGGAGCGAUCGGUCUGGCGCUUAGCGCGAGUACUUGCAUCGUCUCCGGCCAUCCUUGGGGAGAGUCUGUCUGACAUUAAGUUGUCGGGCAGAGGAUCCUCAUCGUUUACUGUGAAAAAAUUAGAGUGUUCAAAGCAGGCUUAUGCCGUUGAAUAUAUUAGCAUGGAAUAAUAAGAUAGGACUUUGGUACUAUUUUGUUGGUUUGCGCACCAAAGUAAUGAUUAAUAGGGACAGUUGGGGGUAUUCGUAUUCCGUUGUCAGAGGUGAAAUUCUUGGAUUUACGGAAGACGAACUACUGCGAAAGCAUUUACCAAGGAUGUUUUCAUUAA